RNAcentral lists this transfer RNA (63 nucleotides) under Tenebrionoidea sp. 20 KM-2017. RNAcentral's name for it is "tRNA-Thr". It matches the Rfam family "tRNA". Rfam says of the family: Transfer RNA (tRNA) molecules are approximately 80 nucleotides in length. Their secondary structure includes four short double-helical elements and three loops (D, anti-codon, and T loops). The record is from RNAcentral. Lineage: Eukaryota; Metazoa; Arthropoda; Insecta; Coleoptera.
GUUUUAAUAAUUUAAUAUAAAAUAUUGGUCUUGUAAACCAAAAAUAAGGAAUCUUUUAAAACU